CAGCCGCCGCGGUAACACAUAGGGGGCGAGCGUUAUCCGGAAUUACUGGGCGUAAAGCGUGUGUAGGCGGUCUAUUAAGUCUGGCGUGAAAUCCCACGGCUUAACUGUGGAGGGUCGUUGGAAACUGAUAGACUUGAGUACGGCAGAGGUAAGUGGAAUUCCAAGUGGAGCGGUGGAAUGCGUAGAUAUUUGGAGGAACACCAGUGGCGAAGGCGGCUUACUGGGCCGGAACUGACGCUGAGACACGAAAGCGUGGGGAGCAAACAGGAUUAGAUACCCUGGUAGUCCACGCCGUAAACGAUGAGCACUAAGUGUCGGAUGCAAAUUCGGCGCUGCAGUUAACACAUUAAGUGCUCCGCCUGGGGAGUACGGUCGCAAGACUGAAACUCAAAGGAAUUGACGGGGACUCGCACAAGCGGUGGAGCAUGCGGUUUAAUUCGAUGCAACGCGAAGAACCUUACCAGGUCUUGACAUCCCGCUGCCAGCCCCAGAAAUGGGGUCUUCCUUCGGGACGGCGGUGACAGGUGGUGCAUGGCC
RNAcentral lists this ribosomal RNA (537 nucleotides) under uncultured archaeon. RNAcentral's name for it is "bacterial SSU rRNA". It matches the Rfam family "Bacterial small subunit ribosomal RNA", at positions 509 to 1050 of the family's 1533-position model. The record is from RNAcentral.